Trichomycterus rosablanca is the source of this 566-nucleotide long non-coding RNA. RefSeq lists it as uncharacterized. Lineage: Eukaryota; Metazoa; Chordata; Actinopteri; Siluriformes; Trichomycteridae. The transcript is spliced from 2 exons. The record is from RefSeq and is a predicted model, not a curated record.
AAAGCGAUCGGGGAAACUAAAGAAAACGGAGAAAAACAAAAUACAAACCGGAAUAAAAACAAAACGCUGGGAAACCCUGAAAAUAAAAGGCGUUCUGAUGGAAACCUGUUUACCCGCCGAGGUUAAGGAUUAAAGUCGAGACUGCCAUGACAACUAUGCUGCUCCUGCCGGAUGUGACUGGUCUGGAGUAAUUGCACCAAGAAUGACAAGAAAUCACUACAGACAUUAUUGAAGACUACAGCGAAGAACAACUCUAUUAUUAUUUAUCUAUUUAUUACCAGUUAUAACUUUUAGAUCAUUUAAUUCUGUGUUCGUAUGCUCUGUGUAAAUCGUGUAUUUAUUUAAAGUAUCCUCCUGGCCACCCAAGAAGGAUGGGCCCUGCUGAGUCUGGUUCCUCUCAAGGUUUCUUCCUGUAAUUUUCAGGGAGUUUUCCUUGCCACAGUCGCCCUCGGCUUGCUCAACAGGGAUUUUUUGUAUCUGUUGGUCCUGGAUUUUGUAAAGUUGCUUUGAGACAAUGUCUACUGUAUUGUAAAAAGCGCUAAAUAAAUAAAGUUGACUAGAUCUGA